UGCCGGAUGGGGUAAUGGUAGCCCGGCUGACUCUGGAUCAGCUAGUCUAGGUUCGAGUCCUAGUCCGGCAG
RNAcentral lists this transfer RNA (71 nucleotides) under Chloroflexota bacterium. RNAcentral's name for it is "Chloroflexi bacterium (rhizosphere metagenome) tRNA-Gln". It matches the Rfam family "tRNA". From Rfam's summary of the family: Transfer RNA (tRNA) molecules are approximately 80 nucleotides in length. Their secondary structure includes four short double-helical elements and three loops (D, anti-codon, and T loops). Lineage: Bacteria; Bacillati; Chloroflexota. The record is from RNAcentral.